Molecule: transfer RNA, 75 nt
Filed under: Burkholderiaceae bacterium
Lineage: Bacteria; Pseudomonadati; Pseudomonadota; Betaproteobacteria; Burkholderiales; Burkholderiaceae
Description: tRNA-Val
Rfam family: tRNA
About the family: Transfer RNA (tRNA) molecules are approximately 80 nucleotides in length. Their secondary structure includes four short double-helical elements and three loops (D, anti-codon, and T loops). Further hydrogen bonds mediate the characteristic L-shaped molecular structure. tRNAs have two regions of fundamental functional importance: the anti-codon, which is responsible for specific mRNA codon recognition, and the 3' end, to which the tRNAs corresponding amino acid is attached (by aminoacyl-tRNA synthetases). tRNAs cope with the degeneracy of the genetic code in two manners: having more than one tRNA (with a specific anti-codon) for a particular amino acid; and 'wobble' base-pairing, i.e. permitting non-standard base-pairing at the 3rd anti-codon position.
Source: RNAcentral
GGGCGAUUAACUCAGGGGUAGAGUGCCACCUUCACACGGUGGAAGUCAGUGGUUCGAACCCACUAUCGCCCACCA